Aegilops tauschii subsp. strangulata is the source of this 1441-nucleotide long non-coding RNA. RefSeq lists it as uncharacterized. NCBI's taxonomy places the organism in Eukaryota, Viridiplantae, Streptophyta, Magnoliopsida, Poales, Poaceae. The record is from RefSeq and is a predicted model, not a curated record.
GAACCAAUUACUGCCGAGCAAUUGAUAGAAAAGCACAAAGUUAUGGGAAGCAGCGAUUCGGUGCCCGGGCGCAGCUGGACCCGAAAUCUCUCGCGUCCGUUCCAGGCUCGGGAUGCGAACAAUUAUGGUAUGAAACAGUGGUUCAAGCGUGGGCCCAAGACGUGGGAGGGACGAAGGAUGCGGGCUGGCUAACUGGGCAGUGGACCAGGAAGUCAACGAUUUGGCCAGGCCACGGAUCAGAUUAGGUGUCCAGCACGUCGGGGACAAGGGCGUCCCUCUCCUUUGGGCUGGGCUGGUUCGUUCUGGAAACCCUCGCCGCCACCCUGUUCGGGCCAAAACACCGCUAUCUGACUUGCGGCGGCGCUCGUUCUUAGCCGGCGCCAACGGGGGGAUGGAGGAUGCUAGUAUGGAGUUCGUGCUUGACGCCGUUGACAGGUUUCCCCUGAGAGAGGAAUUCGCUGACAACCUUGAGCACCCAGAUCCGAUUACCCUCGUCUUCCUGGCCGACGACGGAGCCGGUCAUAUGUGGUUCCCGCGGAAUCUAAUGCUAUGGGUCUGGUUGUGCGGAAAAGGUCGGAGACGAUGGAACAGGUAGAGCGCGUGAAGGAGCUCGCCGUGGCCGUAAUGCAUCUCCGACAAGGUCGGCGCAGUCGACUGACAGAGUCAAUCCACAAGCGCCUGGCUGGAUAAAAAGGAAGAGCUUUGUAGGGAUGAUGCUGAAACUGACUGGGAUUACAUCAGCACUAUGAUGAAUUCAGAAGUGAUGGGCUAUAGGAUUGACUGGCUGAAGAAGUUCAUGUUCCCGGUGAAUUUAAUGGAUCGUUAGUCAUUGUACAUCCCGGAUACGGAGAGGAAAAUUAUGAUGGUGCUUGACCCUACUGAGACUGAUCCAACAGAUGAGAUGAAAAUCAAACAUGAGGAACUAGCAAAGAAGUUCCAGCAUAGGUUCUGCACCAUAUUCAAUGACUUUCGGUGCUGGGUUGGUGACACCCGUGGAUGGUCAUUUGUGUACCCGUUGGUGGGGCAACACGAGCCAUGCAGCAGGUAAGACAGUGGAGUGUAUAUCGUGCACUACUUUCGGACUGAUUGCAGCUUGGCAAGAUCUUUUGGCUGUGCGAGUGAUGAACGUUAGAUUAGCUUGAUUGAGAUCACGUGUCAUUUUGCAUCGGAAAACCCCUGCCAGCUUGUACGCGUGGCGAACUAUGGACAUGGGUCGUGUUUCGAGAUGGAAAUCUACUUAGUUUAAAUUACUGUACUCACGUGUUAGAUGUUAUGUUAUGAGUGGCCAUCUGUCUAAAUUGGCACAUUCUGAAUUUGGAACUACUUAUGUUUGUUUGAUCUACUGUUUGCAUGCACUCUCUCAAUGACUCUGAUCAUAUGCCGUGGAAAAAAAAUUACCAUGGAUAUGUGCAAAUUUGUGAUGACAAAGUCUGCACAAUCA